CAAUAGCGUAUAUUUAAGUUGUUGCAGUUAAAAAGCUCGUAGUCGGAUUUUGGCUGAGAACGAUCGGUCCGCCGUUAGGUGUGCACUGAUUGGUCUCAGCUUCCUGGUGAGGAGGUGUGCUUCACGGCCACUUAGUCACCGUGGUUACUUUGAAAAAAUUAGAGUGUUCAAAGCGGGCUUACGCUUGAAUAUAUUAGCAUGGAAUAACACCAUAGGACUCCUGUCCUAUUUCGUUGGUCUCGGGACGGGAGUAAUGAUUAAGAGGAACAGUUGGGGGCAUUCGUAUUUCAUUGUCAGAGGUGAAAUUCUUGGAUUUAUGAAAGACGAACUUCUGCGAAAGCAUUUGCCAAGGAUGAUUUCAUUGA
Molecule: ribosomal RNA, 365 nt
Filed under: uncultured eukaryote
Lineage: Eukaryota
Description: partial 18S ribosomal RNA
Rfam family: Eukaryotic small subunit ribosomal RNA
Source: RNAcentral